AACGAACGCUGGCGGCAUGCCUAACACAUGCAAGUCGAACGAGACCUUCGGGUCUAGUGGCGCACGGGUGCGUAACGCGUGGGAAUCUGCCCUUGGGUUCGGAAUAACAGUUGGAAACGACUGCUAAUACCGGAUGAUGACGUAAGUCCAAAGAUUUAUCGCCCAAGGAUGAGCCCGCGUAGGAUUAGCUAGUUGGUGAGGUAAAGGCUCACCAAGGCGACGAUCCUUAGCUGGUCUGAGAGGAUGAUCAGCCACACUGGGACUGAGACACGGCCCAGACUCCUACGGGAGGCAGCAGUGGGGAGUAUUGGACAAUGGGCGAAAGCCUGAUCCAGCAAUGCCGCGUGAGUGAUGAAGGCCUUAGGGUUGUAAAGCUCUUUUACCCGGGAUGAUAAUGACAGUACCGGGAGAAUAAGCUCCGGCUAACUCCGUG
RNAcentral lists this ribosomal RNA (433 nucleotides) under uncultured bacterium. RNAcentral's name for it is "partial 16S ribosomal RNA". It matches the Rfam family "Bacterial small subunit ribosomal RNA", at positions 29 to 507 of the family's 1533-position model. The record is from RNAcentral.